Molecule: long non-coding RNA, 817 nt
Organism: Carcharodon carcharias (great white shark)
Lineage: Eukaryota; Metazoa; Chordata; Chondrichthyes; Lamniformes; Lamnidae
Exons: 3
Source: RefSeq, a predicted model, not a curated record
AUUUCUUAUGUAUCGGAAGUCAGGCAGUAAUUGGUUUAAGAGGUAGAGUGACGGCUAGCAUUUAAAGUCAACAGUAAGAAGUUGUUUUGAUAUGUUAAUGAACCAAGAGAACUUCAAUCAGACUUUUACAUAAAGCAAUAACUGGAAUAGAUUUGAAUUGAGUUGGUUUAGUUUGAAGGGAGAUAUAUGCAAAUUUUAAAAAAGAUGUAAGGAAGUGAGGUAAAGAUAGGAUAAGUUUGUUUUCACAAGCUUAAGAGCUAAAGUAAAGAACAAUUUAAUCAAUUCUGGGAAGAAAGCAUUUCUGAAGAGAUUGGUUGAGAUAACAGAGAGGUCAAAGGGAAGGAAUGCAUUUAAGGAAAUACUGAAGCCUAUGUGAGAGGGUGGCUGCUUAGAUCUCCCAGAAGACAGCAGGGUAGCUGGUCAGAACUCCCAGAAGACAGUGUGAACAAGACCAGACUGAAAGAAACAGCUGCUGCCAGCCUCAGAGGACACCCUAAGGAAAAAGCACUUGUUUGGUAAAAAUGACUGGACUUGUAUAGAUUCUAAGACCUAUAAGGAUAGUUGCUGAACAGAAAAGGGGAAGCUCUGAGAAUAGUUAAGUCAAGAUGAAAAGAGCCAGAACCUUCCCAGCCACUGAAGAAAGAGGAAGAAAGCAUUGAAGGCUCCGCAAGUCCAGCCCCUGCCUCACUACCAGUUCAGCUGCACGCAGCCAGACUACGAGUGAUUCAGGUGGGAGAAGUGUGUGUGUGGCCUUUUGGAGCCACGUGUAAGCACUCUCCCACAUACACAGAGCCUUCCUCCAUCACACUCAUCUCCA